GUCACUUGCUGCAAAAUGGAAAAAUAGAGGAGCUGAUUGAUGAUAAAUUGGGUUCUCAGUUUAGCAAAGCAGAAGCAGAAUUGAUAAUAAAAGUAGCGCUAUUAUGCACUUGUGCGACGCCAUCACUCAGGCCUGUAAUGUCUGAGGCUGUAGGCAUGCUUGAAGGAAAAAGAGAUGCCCCUGAUAGUAUCCCAGAAGCAAAUAUGUAUACUGACGAUUUGAGAUUUCAAGCCUUGAAAGAUUUCCAACAAGAGAGGCAAAAUCAAAGUGCGUCAAGUAAUCAAGCUCAGCGUUCAAGCAUCCAAACUGCCUCUGAUCUCUGUGAAUACAACCCCGAAUCAAGAUCUGAUGACUAACUGAAUACAACCCCGAAUCAAGAUCUGAUGACUAACUCUUUACUGUGUGUGUAUUCUUAUUUAAUCUUUGCCAGUGUGCCUGUGUCUU
This 444-nucleotide unclassified non-coding RNA is filed under the name Hevea brasiliensis (rubber tree). The record is from RNAcentral. Lineage: Eukaryota; Viridiplantae; Streptophyta; Magnoliopsida; Malpighiales; Euphorbiaceae.